RNAcentral lists this long non-coding RNA (6095 nucleotides) under Sus scrofa (pig). Its description in RNAcentral is "lncRNA (ENSSSCG00055001196.1)". Lineage: Eukaryota; Metazoa; Chordata; Mammalia; Artiodactyla; Suidae. The record is from RNAcentral.
AGCCAUAGUAACGCAGGAUCUGAGCUGCAUCUGCGACCACACCACAGCUCAUGGCAACACCAGAUGCCUGACCUACUGAGCGAGGGCAGGGAUCGAACCCACAUCCUCAUGGAUACUAGUCAGAUUCGUUUCUGCUGUGCCACAAUGGGAACACCCUAGCCUCAGUAUCUUUAGUAAUAAAAUCAAUGUGUAGACUAAAUUAUUUCUUAAAUGGCUACUGUAUUAGUUUUCUAUGCUUCCAUAACCAAAAACUCACUGGCUUAAAACAACACAAAUUCAUCAUCUUAUAGUUCUGGAAGUCAGAAGCCUAGUACAGCUUUUACUUGGCUAAGAUCAAGCCAUUGUCAGGGCUGUGUUCCUCUCUAAGGCUCUAGGGGAAAAUCUAUCUCCUUGCUCAUUCAGGUGUCAGAAUUCAGUUUUGGACAGUUGGGGGACUGAGGUCUCUGAUUCCUCGCUGUCCGUCAGUUCCAGGCCACUUCUACUUCCUAGAAACUUUCCACUAGUCCUUGCACAUAGCUUUCUACUUCUCAGAACCAACAAAGAAAUGAGGAAUCUUUUUCACACUGUCAUCUUCCUUUUUUGGGGAGGUCCUUAACCCUAAUUCUCUGCAAAGUCUCUGGCCAUGUAAUGUAACAUUCAUAGGUUCUGGGGAUUAGGGAGGAGCUACCUUUGGGGAUCAUUAUUUUGCCUUUCAUACAUUCCAUAUAUGUCUCAGAACCUUAGAUUAGUAGCAUCAUCUAGGGAAGAAGGGAGGGGCCUAUCACCUUUGCCUGCAGAAUUUUUUUCACUGCCACAUACCUAUACCCAGAUAUCCUAAUAUGCUACCCUGACUAUCUCUGCUACCCCCAUCAUACACCGGAAAUGACAGGAAAGCAAAAACUGCUCUAAAUCAGGAACCACAAUCUAUUUUUAAUCCUUUAAGAAUACCUGCUAUAAAUUUGCUCACAGUAAGUGCCCAAGUGAAAAUGUUGUCAGUCCUCUAAGCCAAGUUUCCAGAGAUGACAGACGACAGAUGGAUUCAUCCAUCCGGUACCGUGUAGGAUUAAGUCAUUGGACUUUAAAGUCAGACAAUCUAAGUUUUAAUCUUAGUUUUUUAUGUGUUUUUAGGACACAUUGUGCUUUAGGCAAGCAAUAUUCUAAGUCUUAGUUUCCUGAUAUGUAAAACAAGUUUGAUAAUGAUCCUUACAGAGCUGUGUGAGGAGUAAAUAAGAGAGCUGGUAUAAAGCAAACAGUAAAUAGCCUGGCAUAGGGCCAGCCCCUCACUGUCAUCCAAAAAAUGUUUCUUGGGUGCACUGUGCUAAGUGAUACGCAGAUGGCUAUGAUGAUAUAUUGGGUGAUGAUACCAUACUCAUGAGCCAUAUAUUCAGUAAUUCUGCAUGCUCUGUGGUUAAGCUGAGGGUGAAUUUCCUUUCUGCUAGGGCUCAUGGAAAGCCUCAUGGAGGCAAAGUCCUGAAGCCUGGGUGGGUACGGACAGACAGAGGUGGGGGAUGGACAUGGUUGCUUUCUGCUUUAAUGGAAAAGUGCAUCGAUUUGGCCAAUAACAUGAGUGGUACUGCUUAUCCACAGAUUAAUUUCUCCCUAUCUGCUUAAAGAUACAAAAGGAUGUCCUACUCUCCCGUAUACCAUGAUUCAGCUUCAUGGGUAACACAUUUCCACCAAAAAGCAAUUCUCCCACUAUCACACUGCCUAGUUUUCCCUCAGCCUGAGACACUGUUUCUCUUUCUUUCUUUUUUUUGAGGGCUGCACCUGUGGCAUAUGGAGGUUCCCAGGCUAGGGGCUGAAUCGGAACUGUAGCUGCUGGCCUACACCACAGCCACAGCAACACCAGAUCCGAGCCACGUCUGUGACCUACACCACAGCUCACAGCAACACCAGAUCUUUUAUCCACUGAGCAAGGCUAGGAACAAAACCUGCAUCCUCAUGGAUACCAGUAAGAUUCAUUUCCACUGAGCCAUGACGGGAACACCUAUUUCUCUUUCUUAAAGAGUCAAUGAGGAAUUCUCAUCAUGGCGCAGUAGGAAUAAGUCCAACUAGUACCCAUGAGGAUGCAGGUUCAAUUCCUGGCCUUGCUCUGUGGGUUAAGGAUCCGGCAUUGCCGUGAGCUGUGGUGUAGGUUAUAGAUGUGGCUUGGAUCCCUUGUUGCUAUGGUUGUGGCCUGCAGAUGGAAGCUCUGAUUCGACCCCUAGCCUGGGAACUUCCACAUGCUGUGUGCUCAGCCCUAAAAAAAAAAAAAAAAAAAAAAAAUUAAAGGGUCAAUUCAAACAUUACUUCCUCCUGAAGCACUUUUCUUAUUCUCCCAGGCAGAACUGAGUUUCUCACUAUUGUGUGCUUCCACGACACUUUGUACAGAAUUUUAUUGUUGUACUAAUCACACUAUAUUGUAAUUAUUUAUAGAUUUGUAACUCCUUCCCUACUUUCCCUUAAGGAAAAAAAUGCAUUCUUCCGGAAAUUUUGUCUUACUUACCCAAAGUACCUCCUUGGAUGGUUAUUCACACUGACAGCAUUCCCAGGACAAGUAAACUGUGGUCUUGUGGGGAAUGCAUUAAGCAGAAUAAGUGGAUAUUUUGUGUGUGUGUUGGCGGGGGAGGUGGAAGACAGCAUAUCCUUGAAAACACAGAGCAAGACUGCCCUGUAUUUAGAUUCUAGAUACUAGUUACACACAUGUGGAGGGAGUGGGGAAUCAUUUGAUGUUUCCUGGUGACCUGGGGGAGAGACUAGACUGCCUCAUAGCACUGGUCUGCCUCCCCUCCUCCAGUGAUGCCCCGUGGCCUGUUUUGUGGAGGGGGCUUCAUAACCUAUCCACGAUUUUAGUGUCCUGCUAGUGUCAAUACAGCCACAGGAAGUCAAGGGUCACAACAAAAGAUGCACCAAUUACUUCCAUUUAUUAAUUUACUAAGUAUCAGGUACUUUUAAGAGUGCUUAGCUACAGUGGAUCAUUUAAUUCCCAAAACGAGUCUGACAGAUGGCCAUUAUUAUCCCCAUUUUAUGGCUCAGGAAGGCGAAGUGAUUUUUCUCAAGGUAUUGUGGGUAGCCUGCAGAUUUGAGUGUCAGUGCAUUUUUACACACAUUCCUGUGUCUGAAAUAAUCUGAUGUAAUUCAUUUUUGGAGUCAGAGAGGCAGGUACCAGAAAUACCUUCAUAAGGGCACUGUCAGUGGACAUAGCAAGGUCAACAACUAUCAAGAGAUGAGCAUUGACUUGUGAGGGAGGCCAUCAGACUUCCCACCACUCAUCCCUACCUUGCAACUCACAAUGUUUGGCUUCCAGGGUACCUAGUGGAGAUGGCAACAAUCUAAAUACCUCACAGAGAAGCAGCCCAGGAUCUUGGGGCUGCAAAUUCUGGUGAAGAUGGGCCAUAAGGAAGAGAACUCUUUCAUCUGGAUGAAAGCGUGCCCACCACACCAUCAUUUGAGCACUAAAGUGAGUGACUCUGUGCCCUAACCCUCUUUGACUCACCACAGAGGAGGAGGUUAAGCUGUUAAUUUCAUUUUGGAGGGCAAGAAUGAGUUCAUUCACUUGAUCAAGGGAUGGAGCAUAGUCAGAUACCUGGCAGUUAUAGAAUGCUGGAGGCCUCUCAACUCUAUCUGGAGAACAUAAGCUUGGGAGUCAGCUUUGAUUCUCUGAAUGGCCAAUUAGUCGGGACAAUGCUUUAAAGUUGUCUGUGAGUGAAUUUCAUUUGCACUAUGGGGCAGCUGGACUGCCCUUCCUGACACACUGAUUUGGGGUCAAGUUCCAAUACCUGAAGUCUUACAAAAUGUUCUCUGUUCUGUCCCUCCCCCUCCCCCAAACCUACCUUUUUUAGCCUCACUGUCUGCCUGUUAAACUGUGCCCUACACAACAAAAAGGAGAAUCAUGGUACACCGGGUGACACUGGAAUUCUUGAGGGCAGAAUGCAUAGGUCCCCAAUUUUUUUUUUUUUUCCCACCUGAGAAAUUUCUAGAGCAGGAGGGAAAACUCAAACAAAGAGCAGGAAUAAAAGAUUUAAACCUUAGAAAGAAGGAAUAAAGCAGGUCUCUGUCAAAAGAGGAAAACAGAUAGAAAGCUUGGAUAAAUAUAAUGAUGAUCAGAACUGAAUGGCCAGUGAUGGGGUCUCUGUUCCAGAGGAGUGAAGAGCAGUUUGAAAGUUCGUUCUUAGCACCUCCCCCAGCUUUCUCAGAGGACAGCAUCCUACUCAUUUUUCUUCCACACUUUUGUUUAUGCAAGUCAUCACAUCUUGUUUUUUUUCCCUUCUACUUCAUUUUUCGGGGAUCCCCAAAAGUAUUCUUUCCUUCUGAAAGCCUUCUCAAAUUACAAAAGACUUUGUUAAUCUUGCCUCUUCCAAAUGGAUUCUAAGUUUUUGAGGGCAGGGUUAAUAUGUGGCAAAGACUUAUCCUAUUCUCCAUGGAAACACAAGAAGACCACAUUUUUCAGCUCCCUUGCCACUAACUGGGGCCAUAAGACCAGCUCUGGCCAAUGGAAUAGAUGUAAAAACACUUUUAUGACUUCACGCAUACAAGAUUCCCCAUGUGUGAUAUUGUUUCUUCCUUUUUAUCAGGGACCUUGAAAGCUACCUGUGGAAGAUGUCAGUGUUUCAAGAGGAAAAGAUUCUCAAUCCCUGAGCCAUUGGUUUGAGAAGAGCUGCACAGGAGAAUUUUCCAACCAACAACAUUCACUUCAGAUUUCAUAUAAAAUAAGCAUGUAUUGUGUUAAACUACUUAAAUCUUGGAAUUUUUGUUAUAGUUGCUGACAGUGAUUACUCCCAAAUUCUACGUAUUCUAUUCAUUUAACAGAUUCUAUUCAUUAAAUAGGUUAAUACUAAAAAAAUGUUAUUAUAAUUUCUAUUUCUAUCAGCUACUACUGUGCAAAACCAUUCCAAAGCUAAGUGGUUUAAAAUGACAUUAAUGUUCUUGGUUCAUGAUUCUAAUGGUAGGCAACUUAGGCUGGAGUGAACUGGGUGGUUCUUUAGGUCUUGGCUGAGAUCAAAUAUAUAUCUGCAGUUAGAUGUGGCUCCCCUCCUAGGGUACCUUAAUUCUUCUCCAUGUGAUCUCACACAUUCCAGAAAGAUAGUCUGGGCUUAUUCUCAUGGAGAAUGCAGGAGAGUAAAGGAGAGAGUGAGAAAGGCAAGGCUUCUUCAGGCUUAGAGUUAAAACUGGCACAAGAUUAUUUCUGCCACAUUUGAUUGUCCAACCCAGACUCAAAGGGAGAGGAAAAAGACCCAAUUUCUUGAAGAGAGAUGCUGAAAAGUCACAUUGCAAAGGGAUUUAAAAAAAAGCAGUAUUGCAGCCAUUUAUUGCAAUCAAUUUACUAUAUCUUUAUCACUUUUAUUACUAUGACUUUCUAGUAAACUCAUUUUAACUGACUGUCAUCUAUGGGCCAGGUGGUGUUCUAGCUAUUAGAGAAAAGAAUUUAGUAAGUUAUCACUAUCUUUGUCUUUGAAGGCCUUACAGUCUAUUAGUAAUAAUAAUUGUUAAUAUUUAUGGAAUAAUUACCUAUUGCCAGGCAGUAUUCUAAGUGUUUAUAUGUAUUAACUUUUGAAACACGCACAACAGCAUUGUAUUAUCUCCAAUUUAUGGUUAAUGAAACUGAGACACAAGGAACUUAAUUAUGUGCCCAAAUCCACACAACUUUAAGUACCAACUAGAUUUAAGCCCAAGGCAAGUUAACUCAAGUGGUUAUGCGUUUAUCCACUGUCCUACACUGUUUCUGCCUAUCAGAAUCCUAAUGAUUGACAGAAACAGGCAUAGAGUGUAAUGGGAAGAUUUCAUAGAAAGAAUGAUACUGAGACAAAGUCUGAUAGAAGAGUGGGAGUUUACCAGCCACAGCACAGGAAAUACUAAUGAAAUCUGCCAAUGAAUGGAUUGACAGAAUUAUUGGUUAUUGAGCAUGUGGCUUGAUUUUAAAUGACCUUGAGUUAGUAAUUAUUCUGGGUUAUCAGAGGCAAAUACAACUCAAACUGAAUUAAGGAACACAAACAAAGUGGGCAUUUAUUUUUUUUUUAUUACUCAAAGAAUUUAUUACAUUUAUAGUUGUACAAUGAUCAUCACAAUCCAGUUUUAAAGUAUUUCAAUCCCACAUCCCCAGUGCAUCUCCCCACCCCCCAAACUGUCUCCUUUGGAAA